CACCCUCCAAGCUUUGCUUGAUGUUGGACGGUGUGUCAGUAAGUUACUGACGCACGUCUGGAACGUGUAGGCGUCCGUCCUGUCGAGACACCUCGAGCGUAGCAAGACUUUCAAGUCAUUUUCGCUUUUGUAGGGACUCCAGCGGACUGCCCCCCUCUGAUUUAGGGAGUCAACCCCCCUAAUCAAUCUCAAGA
This 194-nucleotide unclassified non-coding RNA is filed under the name uncultured Ochroconis. RNAcentral's name for it is "sequence contains ITS2". Lineage: Eukaryota; Fungi; Ascomycota. The record is from RNAcentral.